RNAcentral lists this ribosomal RNA (448 nucleotides) under uncultured bacterium. RNAcentral's name for it is "bacterial SSU rRNA". It matches the Rfam family "Bacterial small subunit ribosomal RNA", at positions 335 to 799 of the family's 1533-position model. The record is from RNAcentral.
ACUCCUACGGGAGGCAGCAGUGGGGAAUCUUAGACAAUGGGCGCAAGCCUGAUCUAGCCAUGCCGCGUGAGUGAUGAAGGCCUUAGGGUCGUAAAGCUCUUUCGCCAGGGAUGAUAAUGACAGUACCUGGUAAAGAAACCCCGGCUAACUCCGUGCCAGCAGCCGCGGUAAUACGGAGGGGUUAGCGUUGUUCGGAAUUACUGGGGCGUAAAGCGCGCGUAGGCGGAUUAGUCAGUUAGAGGUGAAAUCCCAGGGCUCAACCCUGGAACUGCCUUUAAUACUGCUAGUCUUGAGUUCGAGAGAGGUGAGUGGAAUUCCGAGUGUAGAGGUGAAAUUCGUAGAUAUUCGGAGGAACACCAGUGGCGAAGGCGGCUCACUGGCUCGAUACUGACGCUGAGGUGCGAAAGUGUGGGGAGCAAACAGGAUUAGAUACCCUGGUAGCGACUGA